Molecule: ribosomal RNA, 165 nt
Filed under: uncultured bacterium
Lineage: Bacteria
Description: partial 16S ribosomal RNA
Rfam family: Bacterial small subunit ribosomal RNA
Source: RNAcentral
UAAGGAAUCUUCGGCAAUGGACGAAAGUCUGACCGAGCAACGCCGCGUGAGUAAAGAAGGUUUUCGGAUCGUAAAACUCUGUUGGUAGAGAAGAACGUUGGUGAGAGUGGAAAGCUCAUCAAGUGACGGUAACUACCCAGAAAGGGACGGCUAACUACGUGCCCG